Acanthopagrus latus (yellowfin seabream) is the source of this 403-nucleotide long non-coding RNA. RefSeq lists it as uncharacterized. NCBI's taxonomy places the organism in Eukaryota, Metazoa, Chordata, Actinopteri, Spariformes, Sparidae. The transcript has 2 exons. The record is from RefSeq and is a predicted model, not a curated record.
AAUAAAACUAUUAAUCAUAACUUAAAGUCAUAUAAAACUUUAUAGUGCACUUUAACAAAGCAAUUCAGUGACUGGAAUUAGCUGAGAUGAAGGAGAGCAGACUCGUGGGUACCUGUCAUUCAAUCGACUGUCAUUUCAAGCACAUACAACCCUCCUCCACCCCGCCUUCCUCCGGCUCUUCAUCCAGUAGCUAGGUUCUACUCACAAGAAUCAACCCCGCCAUCAUCUCCAGGGUCCUUCUUGCUCCAUCAUCACCACCAGUCUCAAGACUCCAUGGGGGAUUUCGUGAUCUAUGCACAGCUUCAUCAACUCCACAAAUAUUACUUCAUCAAGAUGGAGUCUAAACAAAGACUUUCUCUUUGUAUGCAUGGCAAUAAAUCUUCAUGAAAUGUCUAUAAGCAUC